AUUGAACGCUGGCGGCAGGCCUAACACAUGCCAGUCGAGCGGAUGAAGGGAGCUUGCUCCUGGAUUCAGCGGCGGACGGGUGAGUAAUGCCUAGGAAUCUGCCUGGUAGUGGGGGAUAACGUCCGGAAACGGGCGCUAAUACCGCAUACGUCCUGAGGGAGAAAGUGGGGGAUCUUCGGACCUCACGCUAUCAGAUGAGCCUAGGUCGGAUUAGCUAGUUGGUGGGGUAAAGGCCUACCAAGGCGACGAUCCGUAACUGGUCUGAGAGGAUGAUCAGUCACACUGGAACUGAGACACGGUCCAGACUCCUACGGGAGGCAGCAGUGGGGAAUAUUGGACAAUGGGCGAAAGCCUGAUCCAGCCAUGCCGCGUGUGUGAAGAAGGUCUUCGGAUUGUAAAGCACUUUGAGUUGGGAGGAAGGGCAGUAAGUUAAUACCUUGCUGUUUUGACGUUACCAACAGAAUAAGCACCGGCUAACUUCGUG
This 484-nucleotide ribosomal RNA is filed under the name uncultured bacterium. Its description in RNAcentral is "partial 16S ribosomal RNA". It matches the Rfam family "Bacterial small subunit ribosomal RNA", at positions 30 to 507 of the family's 1533-position model. The record is from RNAcentral.